Molecule: small nucleolar RNA, 290 nt
Organism: Hypomesus transpacificus
Lineage: Eukaryota; Metazoa; Chordata; Actinopteri; Osmeriformes; Osmeridae
Source: RefSeq, a predicted model, not a curated record
GCCCCGUGAUGAGACCAAGGCGAAUGCAAGCCAACUGAAUGAGUGUGCUGGGGUCUCCCUCUCUUUGAUUGGCUGGUAAUCUUGGCAGUGCAGCGGAGAUUUGCUGCUCUGCUGUAAGGGCCCGCCUACAGUGACUUAGCUCCGCCCACAGUGUUCCAUCUGGAAGGAAACGGGGAAAACACCGGGAGGAUGCUAACAGUGUGUGUGUGUGUGUGUCCAAGGGAGGGAGUCACCCCAGCUCACCUCAGUAACUCAGUUGGCCAUGAGCUAUUUCUACUUGUCUGAGGGCU